GGAAAAAAAAAAGUACAAGAAGAUGGGUGCAACUGUUAAGGAACAAGAGCAUUUGAGAAGAAUUCAAUGUAAAAUGAAGAAUUACAGAAGAUCAUUGCUAGUGUUCUAGUUAGAGCUUGCUUUUGCUACCAUUCCAUUAUUGCAUAUAUUUUUGAGAGUUUGUUGAUGAGUCUGUUUUUUAGUUGUUCUUCCUUGAGGACAAGGAAGCUUGAGGAGAAGAUAUUGAUGUGUUUAAUGUUGAUUAGUGUGGGUUGUUAAGCUGUAAGGGUGAUGUUUGUAUAAAAGAGAAACCUUAUCUGUAAUUCAGGUGUUAAUUGAAUGAAAUUCCUCUUCUUUGGAUUUUUCUUUUUGAGUAUUCUUCUUCUGUUCAUGAUGACCUGUCCAAUGAUAACAAUAUCGAUCAAUGCCUCUAGCAAGUUUUUCUUAUCAGUAGCUUAUGGUUCAGUGAUUCUUAGGUUUACUACCAUGGACAUUGAGCAUUGUUUUGUUGCCAUUGUUAAUCAUUUGUUGGGAGAUUUAAGUCAUUUGUUGCUGUUGUUUGGUAUGAUUCUAGAUUAGAGCUAAAAAGAUUCACUAAGCUUAUUCUUAUGAGAUGGAAGGCUGAGGAUGGCUUAACUCAGCUUAUAAUGUUAUGGUAAUUUGGUAAAAUUGAGAAUCGAGGGUGGGUGGAGAGAGAGCA
This 679-nucleotide unclassified non-coding RNA is filed under the name Hevea brasiliensis (rubber tree). The record is from RNAcentral. Lineage: Eukaryota; Viridiplantae; Streptophyta; Magnoliopsida; Malpighiales; Euphorbiaceae.